RNAcentral lists this long non-coding RNA (1181 nucleotides) under Homo sapiens (human). Its description in RNAcentral is "HSALNT0280855". Lineage: Eukaryota; Metazoa; Chordata; Mammalia; Primates; Hominidae. The record is from RNAcentral.
CCAUCACCACGCCCGGCUAAUUUUUUGUAUUUUUAGUAGAGACGGGGUUUCACCAUGUUAGCCAGGAUGGUCUCGAUCUCCUGACCUCGUGAUCCGCCUGCCUCGGCCUCCCAAAGUGCUGGGAUUACAGGCGUGAGACACUGCACCCGGCCUACUCUUUUUUUUGUCCGAGAAACAUUCACGAAUAAUUUCUUUCUAUAUAGAAUACCAGUUCUUUCAGCUGUAAUAUCCUCUUGUUAUACUGGAGCCCCGUUGGUAUGAUGAGAAACUGUGGAGGCGGUGAAGCAUUCUACAACCUUCCAAUUAAGUCUCAGCCUUUUACCUGACUUGCAUCUUUGACCUGUGAUCACCGAGAAUCAAAAGGGAAGUGUUUCUUCUUGUAUAGUUUCUCCCCUCCCAAUUAGGUGAGGAACGCUAGAGGGGGCUAUGGUGAGAUCUCUGGGACAAGGCUCUGGUAAAGUACUUUCCUCUGAAGACAAGGCCUUUGCUAUGGAGAAGGUUCUGGACAUAUUUUACCAAGAUUAUCCGUCUACUCUCCCUACCUAAGCCACAAGGGUACCUUUGUUGACUCUUCGCGGUGAGAACCUAGUGGGGAUCCUGGAGAUAAAGUCAAUGAAAAUAUGGUGGCCCCAAGGAGUUUCUCAGUCUCAAGCCAGUCUACACUCAGCCUCCAGAAACUUGUCAAAAUUACUAAGUGUUCCUACCAGUUUAUGGCUCCAGUGACUUCUAUUUUAGGUGACUGCUCCACUUCCCCACUAUGAUCAGGCCUGCUUGGGGAGGUCUUCUGCUCCCAUCGUAGACUGAGCUUCUGCUCAGCUCAGAGCAUAUGACCAUUGCUGGACUUCUGAAAUCUAAAUCAGAUCAUCACUGCAGCUAAUAGAUGCUGGCCUUUUUUGCAGUGAGUUACCUCUAAUAUACACUUACUGAAAGCACACAUCUUCACAGCUGAAAAUAAAAAUAAAAUAUAUUCCAUUACAAUUUUGGUGACAUCUCUCCUAGCAGAUCUUGUAAGCUGUAUUUCCCAAGCAAUACCGCUUUUGAUCACUUUCUCAAUUCCUCACAUGAAAUAUUCAUUGUAGUGAAAUGUCUUAGUAAGGCAGGUUUAAGAGAGAAGAGGGAAAACAAAUACUGAACCAUGUUCCAAGAAUAUGGUAAAAACAAAAGAAGCAAAAGAAAGAUGG